RNAcentral lists this ribosomal RNA (250 nucleotides) under uncultured bacterium. RNAcentral's name for it is "partial 16S ribosomal RNA". It matches the Rfam family "Bacterial small subunit ribosomal RNA", at positions 524 to 773 of the family's 1533-position model. The record is from RNAcentral.
UACGUAGGUGGCAAGCGUUGUCCGGAAUUAUUGGGCGUAAAGCGCGCGCAGGCGGCCUUUUAAGUCUGAUGUGAAAGCCCCCGGCUCAACCGGGGAGGGUCAUUGGAAACUGGAAGGCUUGAGUGCAGAAGAGAAGAGCGGAAUUCCACGUGUAGCGGUGAAAUGCGUAGAGAUGUGGAGGAACACCAGUGGCGAAGGCGGCUCUUUGGUCUGUAACUGACGCUGAGGCGCGAAAGCGUGGGGAGCGAAC